GAAGGGGGCUAGCGUUGUUCGGAUUUACUGGGCGUAAAGCGCACGUAGGCGGAUCGUUAAGUCGGGGGUGAAAUCCUGGAGCUCAACUCCAGAACUGCCUUCGAUACUGGCGAUCUUGAGUCCGGAAGAGGUGAGUGGAACUCCUAGUGUAGAGGUGGAAUUCGUAGAUAUUAGGAGGAACACCAGUGGCGAAGGCGGCCUGCUGGACGACAACUGACGCUGAGGCGCGAAAGCGUGGGGAGCAAACAGGAUUAGAUACCCUGGUAGUCCACGCCCUAAACGAUGUCUACUAGUUGUCGGGACUUAAUUGUCUUGGUAACGCAGCUAACGCGUGAAGUAGACCGCCUGGGGAGU
Molecule: ribosomal RNA, 354 nt
Filed under: uncultured bacterium
Lineage: Bacteria
Description: bacterial SSU rRNA
Rfam family: Bacterial small subunit ribosomal RNA
Source: RNAcentral